Molecule: non-coding RNA, 125 nt
Organism: Triticum aestivum (bread wheat)
Lineage: Eukaryota; Viridiplantae; Streptophyta; Magnoliopsida; Poales; Poaceae
Source: Rfam
GUACUACUCCCUCCGUCCGGAAAUACUUGUCGAAGAAAUGUAUAAAAAUGGAUGUAUCUAAAACUAAAAUAUGUCUAGAUACAUCCAUUCCUCCGAUAAGUUUUUCCGGACGAAGGGAGUAUAAA